RNAcentral lists this long non-coding RNA (806 nucleotides) under Hordeum vulgare. RNAcentral describes it as "long non-coding RNA (HVUL_LNC021611)". The record is from RNAcentral. Lineage: Eukaryota; Viridiplantae; Streptophyta; Magnoliopsida; Poales; Poaceae.
AAGAUAUGGACUUCUUGUCAUGUGGAAGGCCUCGAGGUUGGCUGUAAAAGGAAUACAAAUCAACAUUAUUCCUAGCAAAACAUGGUUGAACAGAUCUAAACUCUACAAACAAAGGAAUAGAUAGAAAAACACACUAAAGUUCUAACCAUUAACAUACAUGUGGGUUUUCUAUCAAACUUAGAAUACCUAGUGCUUAGGCUAACGAUGUAAGCCGCGUGCACAACAUCCCAAGCUUCUGCAUGAAUCGUGAAACAAAGCAAAAAUGUAACUUCAAUAUCUAAAGUGCAAAAAUAUAUAUUAUUUGGAGGUACCUAGAUGUUAGCUACUAAUCCCUCCCAAUCUGCGGAGAUUCUUUCCAUACAAGAAAUUAUUCUGUCGAUUUAUAUAAGAAUGUAUUUGAUAGAUAGGUGGCAUAUUCUGUUUAAGCUUCAAAUUCGGGAGUGAUUAAGAUAAAGGUGAAAGUAUUAAGCUAAAGUUUGUAUAGUAGAUGAACAACCGGCCAAAUCGAACAUCCAUAACAUCCGCUGCCCAAAUAGAAUGUUCCAACCAAUCGAUGCAAAAUUAUUCCCACAAAUAGCAUGAUGAACAGUUAAACACAUUAGUUGGCAAAAAAAAGAUAACCAUAUGCCAACUGUAUUUGAGCGACUUAUGAUAUGAUUCAGGUUAACUGCUAGCUACUCUUUUGAUAAAAACAGAGUACAUCUGAGAAAUCAACUCCACAUGUUCCUUGUCAGCACUCUUAUGUGAUAUCAACGUCACCUUUGAAAGGAAAUUGACAUGUUCCUUGUCAUCCAUCAAACACUGGA